AGUGAACGCUGGCGGUAGGCCUAACACAAGCAAGUCGAACGGCAGCACAGGAGAGCUUGCUCUCUGGGUGGCGAGUGGCGGACGGGUGAGGAAUACAUCGGAAUCUACUAUGUCGUGGGGGCGAACGGCGGGAAACUUACGAUGAUACCGCAUACGACCUAAGGGUGAAAGCAGGGGACCGUCGGGCAUCGCGCGAGUGAAUGAGCCGAUGUAGUCUUAGCUAGGUGGCGGGGUAAAGGCCCACCGAGGCGACAAUCCGUACAUGGUCUGAGAGGAUGGUCAGCCACACUGGAACUGAGACACGGUCCAGACCCCUACGGGAGGCAGCAGUGGGGAAUAUUGGACAAUGGGCGCAAGCCUGAUCCAGCCAUACCGCGUGGGUGAAGAAGGCCUUCGGGUUGUAAAGCCCUUUUGUUGGGAAAGAAAUCCAGCUGGCUAAUACCCGGUUGGGAUGACGGUACCCAAAGAAUAAGCACCGGCUAACUUCGCGCCAGCCGCCGCGGUAA
Molecule: ribosomal RNA, 506 nt
Filed under: uncultured bacterium
Lineage: Bacteria
Description: partial 16S ribosomal RNA
Rfam family: Bacterial small subunit ribosomal RNA
Source: RNAcentral